Long non-coding RNA from Cyprinus carpio carpio, 1091 nucleotides. NCBI's taxonomy places the organism in Eukaryota, Metazoa, Chordata, Actinopteri, Cypriniformes, Cyprinidae. The record is from Ensembl.
UAUAGACCAGAUAACUCUGAUGUUGCGAGAAGAAUGUUUGUUCAUAAGAGUUCUGAGAACAUUUCCUGCCAUUCAAUGUAAUUAGCAGAUAUAAAUGUUAGUUUGUAUUAGUAUGUCAGUGAAUAUGAUUCCUGUGUUGUCCUGUGGUUUGUUCAGAUAUGGCUGCUCGUGCUGCAGAUCUUCCUCAUACACUCACAUCUGCAGUCUUCAUCAGGUCUGCGUUUGAGGCGUUUGAUCCUCGUAUCCGUGCUGUGGGGGUGGGUCAGUCCGAGGACCGAGCGGGGCUGCGGAGUUAAUUGCUAGUUUGGAGGCUGACGCUGAGUGAAUGUGGCAGCCUGUGAGCAGAGAGCCAGUGAGAUCCUGCUGCAUAUUCACUCUGUCCAAGACGAUCGGCGCAUCUGUCAGCGUGGGACCCGGCUCUGGGGGAACAGGGAGCUGUGCUGUUGCUCUGGGCUGAAGGCGGACGACGCUGGACACUGACACGGGGCAAAAAGAGCCACAUCGCAUUUACAACUCAAUUACAGCCACCUCGCCGUCUGCGAGAGCACGAGAGGAUGCUGUUGGUCACCGCACAGCUGUUUCAUGAGAAAAAGCCUUUUCUUUGUCAGUUCGCUUUGUUGCGCUGUCCGGAGACGUCCGUGUGUCCUGCAGCAGAUCCAGGCCUCAUAUUCCCGCGUUGCACAUUGCUGUCACUUACCUGGUCUGGAGGUGAGCUCCGCAUCUCACCUGCGCUGAUGCACGCCUGACUCAGUGUGGCCACUAAUUACUGCCCCGAGAUGUUUUUCUCAUGCUCUCAUUCAGUUGUUGGGACCGAUUUCCAUGCUGAUGAUCAAAGUAAGGCUUCCUCUGAAACACUCUGUCUUAUUUACAUGAGGAGGACGACCACAUUUGCAUCUAAAUUUACGUGCGACCCAAACCCUUGAGUGGUAAGAUGAAAAUGAAGAGUCACCGUGUGUUAGCACCGCACAUGAGAUGGGAAGAAAAUAUAGCUAACAUGCUUUGCUAACAUGGGCUCUGGGAAAAACAUGCACUGCUGACGCAUGCAGCGUGAAACAGGCCUUACAAUGAACAAAGAUCAUAGCGGUGGCAAG